Molecule: ribosomal RNA, 253 nt
Filed under: uncultured bacterium
Lineage: Bacteria
Description: partial 16S ribosomal RNA
Rfam family: Bacterial small subunit ribosomal RNA
Source: RNAcentral
UACAGAGGUCUCAAGCGUUGUUCGGAUUCAUUGGGCGUAAAGGGCGCGUAGGCUGCGGGGUAAGUCGGGUGUGAAAUCUCGGAGCUUAACUCCGAAACUGCAUUUGAUACUGCCGUGCUUGAGGACUGGAGAGGAGACUGGAAUUUACGGUGUAGCGGUGAAAUGCGUAGAUAUCAGGAGGAACACCGGUGGCGAAGGCGGAUCUCUGGGCCUUACCUGACGCUCAGGUGCGAAAGCUAGGGGAGCGAACAGG